Long non-coding RNA from Oncorhynchus tshawytscha (Chinook salmon), 659 nucleotides. The record is from Ensembl. NCBI's taxonomy places the organism in Eukaryota, Metazoa, Chordata, Actinopteri, Salmoniformes, Salmonidae.
GAGGAGAGGAGAGAGAGAGAGGAGAGAGGAGAGGAGAGGAGAGGAGAGGAGGAGAAUCCCAGGUAGAGGGCAGGACACUGGAGGCUGAGGAGGAGAGGAGAGGAGGAGGGAGGAGAGCUCUGGGGCCAUCCCAGGUAGAGGGCAGGAUACUGGAGGCUGAGGAGGAGAUGAGAGGGGGAGAAGCGGAGAGGAGAGGAGGAGAGGAGAAGAGGAGAGGAGGAGAGCUCUGGUGCUAUCCCAGGUAGAGGGCAGGAUACUGGAGGCUGAGGAGGAGAGGAGAGGGGGAGAAGCGGAGAGGAGAGGAGGAGAGGAGAAGAGGAGAAGAUGAGAGGAGGAGAGCUCUGGUGCUAUCCCAGGUAGAGGGCAGGAUACUGGAGGCUGAGGAGGAGAGGAGAGGAGAGGAGGAGAGCUCUGCUGCCAUCCCAGGUAGAGGGCAGGAUACUGGAUGCUUGCAUGAAGCAGGAAUAUGGUGCAAUGCUGUGUCCCAAAACUAGCUGGACCCCUGCCUGCUUCUCUAUCUGUGGUGUCAUUUACUGUAUGAAGCUUUGGUCUGCAUGUCACGGAGACACUCAUCCUAUAAUAGAGGUCAUGGAGACACUCAUCCCAUCAUAGAGGUCAUGGAGACACUCAUCCCAUAAUAGAGGUCACGGAGACACUCA